UGCUGUCGCAUUUUCCUGAAGUCUG
RNAcentral lists this unclassified non-coding RNA (25 nucleotides) under Mus musculus (house mouse). RNAcentral's name for it is "oocyte_clustered_small_RNA5094". Lineage: Eukaryota; Metazoa; Chordata; Mammalia; Rodentia; Muridae. The record is from RNAcentral.